RNAcentral lists this ribosomal RNA (566 nucleotides) under uncultured bacterium. RNAcentral describes it as "partial 16S ribosomal RNA". It matches the Rfam family "Bacterial small subunit ribosomal RNA", at positions 355 to 907 of the family's 1533-position model. The record is from RNAcentral.
UGGGGAAUAUUGCACAAUGGGCGCAAGCCUGAUGCAGCCAUGCCGCGUGUGUGAAGAAGGCCUUCGGGUUGUAAAGCACUUUCAGCGAGGAGGAAGGUGGUGAGCUUAAUACGCUCAUCAAUUGACGUUACUCGCAGAAGAAGCACCGGCUAACUCCGUGCCAGCAGCCGCGGUAAUACGGAGGGUGCAAGCGUUAAUCGGAAUUACUGGGCGUAAAGCGCACGCAGGCGGUUUGUUAAGUCAGAUGUGAAAUCCCCGGGCUCAACCUGGGAACUGCAUUUGAAACUGGCAAGCUAGAGUCUCGUAGAGGGGGGUAGAAUUCCAGGUGUAGCGGUGAAAUGCGUAGAGAUCUGGAGGAAUACCGGUGGCGAAGGCGGCCCCCCUGGACGAAGACUGACGCUCAGGUGCGAAAGCGUGGGGAGCAAAACAGGAUUAGAUACCCUGGUAGUCCAGCGCUGUAAAACGAUGUCGAUUUGGAGGUUGUGCCCUUGAGGCGUGGCUUCCGGAGCUAACGCGUUAAAUCGACCGCCUGGGGGAGUACGGCCGCAAGGUUAAAAACUUAAAUG